CCAAUAGGGUCUCGAGUCAGAUGUUAUUGCGAUCAAAACUUGACUUUCUACAGUUCACUUCACAUUUUAUUUUCAUUUCCAAAAAUACACAUACAGCUAACCCUGUUUAUUCAUUUUCUUAAAUUUAAUAGUGGAAAUAUAGUUUUAGGGCGAGAUAAUAUAUAAUCAAUUUAGUAUUGUGCCAAUUUUAGACGGUGAAUGUUCAUCUAAUCAGAAAGUUUUACUGUAGUGAUAAGUGUUUGAAUAGAGGAGGAAGUUUACAGACAAGACCUUGACGAAAAUAUUUGCAUCUUGGAUAUCAGUAAACUAAUCAUUUUUCGGACAAUGGGUUGGUGGUCACUAUCGCUUAGUGGCUAAGCGACAUGGAGCCGGACCUAGAGUCGGAUGGGUUGCCAUCUAUUCAUAUAAGUGAUGUCAUUGAAGUAAUCAAACAAGAUGAGGCAUCAGGUGUGCGGGAUUUCUCUGCAGAGUUACGGGAAACUGAGGAGGUGCUAGCUGAGGAUUUGGCUACUACUGGAGUCCUUGGAGCAACUUCUGGAGGUUUUGGAAUCCCUGCGCCUACUGGAACAGCGAUUAGUUCUGGAUUUUUCGGAACUGAUUCAGGUUGGCAACUGGAAGUAAGCUCUGUAGUUGCUGGAAGUUCUGGACUUGCUGGGCCUUCUGGAGUAGUUGCAAGUUCUGGAACAUCUGAAUUCCCUGGAACAGGUUCUGGAGCAAACGUUAGUUCUGGACCAUCUGGAUUCCCUGGAGCAGUUUCUGGAGCAAAUCCAAGCUCUGGACCAUCUGGAUUCCCUGGAGCAGGAUCUGGAACAAACGUUAGUUCUGGACCAUCUGGAUUUCUUGGAGCAGUUUCAAACUCUGGAUUUGCCGGACCCUCAGAAUCUGGGCCGCUGCUGUUGGGAGCAAGAGGUGGAGGAGUGGUGGAGGGGGGAACGGCCAUCAUGCACAAGCAAGCAGUGUGUGUGAUCACUGAGCAGCCUGCCUCCAAAGCGCUGCGCUUCCGCUACGAGUGUGAAGGCAGAUCGGCCGGAAGCAUACCCGGUGUGAACAGCACGCCUGAGAAUAAGACUCAUCCCACCAUUCAGAUAAAGAACUACGUAGGGCGGGCGGUGGUGGUGGUAUCUUGCGUGACGAAGGACUCACCUUACAGGCCGCACCCGCACAGCCUGGUUGGCAAGGAGGGCUGCAAGCAUGGCGUCUGCACCAUGGAGGUCAACACCGAAACCAUGGCACUCGCCUUCGCCAACCUUGGCAUCCAGUGCAUCAAGAAGAAGGACAUCGAGGCGGCGCUCAGUCAACGAGAGAAGUUACGCAUCGAUCCAUUCAAGACUGGCUACGAUCACAGGAACCAGCCUGGUAGCAUUGAUUUGAACGCGGUUCGUCUCUGCUUCCAAGUGUUCCUCGAAGGCAAGAUUAAGAACCAGUUCAACGUGGCUAUCACGCCGGUCGUGUCCGAGCCCAUCUAUGACAAAAAGGCGAUGUCCGAUCUUCUCAUCUGCAAACUGAGUGAAGAUUCCGCUCCUGUUACUGGGGGAAAACAAAUUAUUCUCCUGUGUGAAAAAGUUGCCAAAGAGGAUAUCUCAGUGAAACUUUAUGAAGUGGUCAACAACCAGAUAGUAUGGGAAGGAGAAUGCGAAUUCAAUACCACCGAUGUACACAAGCAAGUGGCUAUCACCUUCAAAACUCCACGCUAUAAGAAUAUUGAAGUGACCGAACCGAUCGUAGCGCAGAUCCAGCUAGUGCGUCCCUCGGAUAAAGCCGCCAGCGAUCCGCUGCCGUUCCAGUUGACGCCCAUUCACUCAGGUAGGGGGCAACUGCUCUGGUCACUCAACCGGCGGCGUAAAGCCGACUAUCGCACUUUCGCCAACAUAUUAAAUACGGACGCCCGUCUCAUGACCUGUAAAGGGGUGGGAGCUGGAGCGAUUGAUAAGCAAGGCCACAAAGUGAUGACUCUGGAUGCCGUGGGGGAGGAAAUGAGUGUGGAAAACUGGGGGAAGGCAGAGGAAGAUGAUGGCAAAGCGGAUCCUGAUAGGUGGAAGAAGAUAAAUGAUGCCUAUGCCGAGUUGAAGAAGAAUAAAAGGGGCAGGAUGGUUGAAGCAGGUAGUGGAAAUUUGAGUGCAAAUAUGGGGGGAAACGUUGUUAGAGAUGGGAAAUUUGGUGUAAGUUCAGGGGGAGAUAUUAUUGAUGCAGGUGGAAAAGCUGGUGAGAAUGUGAAUGGAAAUCAAAGUGCUGUGGAAAGUGUGGUAUUUAAUGGAAGUUAUGUUGGAGAUAAUGGAGGAUACGGUGGUGGAAAUCUGGAAGAGUUUAGUGGAGGAAACAUUGCAGAAGUUGGUGGAGAUUCGUUUGGAAAUGUUUUAGUUAUAGACGGAAAUAUUCUAGAGAAUUCUAGAAGUGUAGAUAAUAAUUUGGGUGGGACCAAUGGCACAGAGGAAGGUUUCACAGAUCUGCUGAACCAGGUCAACGAGUUGGAUUCGAUCUGUGUAGAUGGUAGCAACGAUUUUGGGAUUUACAGUAGUUUACAGUUGGCUAUGAAGAAUCCGUGUGAAUUUAUUGAUAGUAAUGCUAUGGAGACUGGAGAGGCGUACGAAGAUAUAGCUCCACCUCGACCGACGGCUAGUAAACCACCGUUACCUCACCACCAACAGGUAUUCAGUAAUGUUGAGGUUGAAAACGAGGAUGACGAGGGGGCAACAUUACCUCCCCUGCCCCCCAAACGCGUCAAAAAGUGCGGCAGCCCCGCCCCGCCUCAAAAAACCCUCCCCCCAACACCCGAGGGCACUAAAAAGUUAAGUUUGUUUCAAAAACUGUUUUCAUCGACGUCAAAACGCAGCAAAUCGCGGAAAAACAGUUUGACACAGUCGGUUGCGUCACGGAAACCCAGUGUAACGUCAUUGGUUAGUAGGGUGGGGUUGGGAGAGUCGGGGGAGGGGGACCAUGAGAAGCAGGACAUGGCGUUGACUGAGGCUGAACAUUAUGCGUUAUAUACAUCGCUGGCGCCUCAUGCUACCGCCUCUGAAUUUGAUGAGAUGUCGUUCUACUAUAGUCCGGUAGAGGGUCGCCCUACUAAUGCUGAUGUGCCUGUUAAAUAGUAGGGCUAAAUGAAACCAUCAGGGACCACUGUAGGCCUACCUGUAGCCGUGAGGUUUUCGUCAGCCUGUCCACCUAUUGUUCUUGAAAAGAAAGUAAUAGAGAUAUUAUUUUUUACUAAUUGAAUAGGAAACAAACUGGUGGUUCCUUCUCGUUUCCAUGGCCCAAUAGUAGUCUAUAUUGUGAACUACUAGUACAAAGGACUAUUGUAAAAGAUAGUUGUGCAAAAUAAUGAAAGUUGUUGGGGAAAUCACACCAAUUCGUGCAACCCAAUUAUGCUGCGAAUUUGUAUUGGAAUUAGUGAAACGAUGUGAGAUUUGUACAAGGUUAAUGGAAACUAGGUUGGAAUGUGCCAUGUAUGUGAGGCUCAGUUCACACGACUUUUUCAGUGAUUAGGCUACAUAAAGUCUUAUUUUAGAAAGUUUCUAUGCUUUAUUUUUCAUAAUUUUUUUAUUAGUUUAUCUUCAUAGUCUAUUAGUCUUCAUUUAUUAACGCACAAAUCAUUGCAACAGGGAAAGAAAUUAAUCAAAAAUUGGUUUAUUAAAAAAGUUGGUCAAAGAACGUAAGCCAAAAUAAUUUUAAAUUUUGAAUUGAUGAAAACUGUAUUAUGAAUCAGUCUUGAAUAUUUUCAUUUAUCUAUAUGGUGCUACACUCAAUUUCUAGUCAUUCUUCCUUCUAUAUUGUAAUAGAUUUGUGGUCCCUUCUAGUUGUUUUGUUAUAUCUUGUUUGUUAUUUCAUCUAUAGUUUAUUUACUAAUUUCUCAACUAUUUGCACUAUUAUUUUAAAUUGUAAGUUCCUCAACUUACAUAGUAGGCCUACUUAAUAAAACUGUACUUAAAAUUAUUAUGAGUAGCCAUUUUUUAUUUCAUAUUGGCGGUCAGUUUUUGGUACCUUGUUUGUUAUUUGUCACAUCACUCAUUUCCCUUACUAUAAUAUAUUACUAUUAGUUGCUUACUUAUUUUGUUCAAUUUCCACAUUUUCACCCUUUUUUGUAAGUUUUGUUUUAAAUAAACGAAAUUUGUCUUCAGCUCCGAGCAUAGGAGUCAGGAGGAAAAGGGCCAAAUACAAUACUAUACAGGAGUUGGAGGCUAAAAAUACUAAUUUGCUUCAAUGUGAAGGAACAUUG
RNAcentral lists this unclassified non-coding RNA (4213 nucleotides) under Nilaparvata lugens (brown planthopper). RNAcentral describes it as "embryonic polarity protein dorsal, transcript variant X7". Lineage: Eukaryota; Metazoa; Arthropoda; Insecta; Hemiptera; Delphacidae. The record is from RNAcentral.